RNAcentral lists this long non-coding RNA (1060 nucleotides) under Gossypium barbadense (sea-island cotton). Its description in RNAcentral is "long non-coding RNA (GBAR_LNC016259)". Lineage: Eukaryota; Viridiplantae; Streptophyta; Magnoliopsida; Malvales; Malvaceae. The record is from RNAcentral.
ACACGAAUUUGGUUUUGAAAUUGAGAAUUGAGCCUUAACAUUCUUAUUUUCCAUCUGAAACUAACAAAUAGAAACCAAAUGACGAGGUCCAUAUACAACUUUUGUUGGUUGUUAGACCAACCAAAACCAUUGGAUAAAGUCUGUAAAAAAAAAAAGAAAAGCAUCGUCUCAAUGGCAUGUUAGAACCAAGACUAAGCUAAGGCACAGUACAUGAUAUUAAUUAUUUAGACUUAUGUUACCCGUUAUUACUUUUACCUGUCUAAAAUAUUCUGCAUGUCGGCCUCUUGACUCUAAUGCUGUAUGGCAAUGGACGAAAUGGGAGCCUCACAGUUAGCGACAGUUCAAAUCACUAGUAACUAACUAAUCAGGCAAGUUGUGAUGAUAAGGCAAGAGUGUAGAGGCAGCAACAUUGUCUUAAUAUUCAACGGCAUUUGAACCACUGUGCCAAGGAUCCCACACAUUGCUACAUCAUAUUAUCAUCAGCAGUCUACACCAAGAAUUGAAACGCUAUGAGAAUCUAGAAAACAAAGCAACAGUAUUUACAUAUGAGAACAUGGGGUCAAGGUCCCACAAAGAACUCACUGGAGAUGAAGCAAAGAUGAUUUCUUACCACAAGAAUCAUUCCAGAGUCAGGGUACCUAUUAAUCAGAACUAUCGCAAAUAUGUUUCUGAUUCAAGGCCCAUCUUAUAAGCCACUCUGAUGAUGCCAAUGAGAUAUCUUAGCUUCAAAAACAACGCGAGGAUGACAUGAAUUGUUGUCUCCCCUUUCAGGGAUCUUACCUGAUUUGGAUUUGGCUCCAUUAUUGGAUAAGGCAUCUUUGUGCUCACUUGUCAAGAAGCUCAUAAUCACUCUGCACUAACCAUUGUCAUGUUAUAUGCUGACAAUGCUUUUCUUCUGUAUUUGCUAUACAUAGUUUGUAGCAUACAUACUAGAGGCAGAUCAAUUGUUAAGUUAUCUAAGAAUUGAAUUAGGAGAUUAUUUGACAUUCAUCACAGCUGGAAGGAAACAUUCUUCUGAAAGCAUUGCUGGAACUGCAGCAGUUAUCAGACAUGGACUUCU